AAAAACUCCGGUGGUAUGAGAUGGACCCGCGUCUGAUUAGCUAGUUGGUGAGGUAACGGCCCACCAAGGCGACGAUCAGUAGCCGGCCUGAGAGGGCGACCGGCCACAUUGGGACUGAGACACGGCCCAAACUCCUACGGGAGGCAGCAGUGGGGAAUAUUGCACAAUGGGGGAAACCCUGAUGCAGCGACGCCGCGUGAGUGAAGAAGUAUUUCGGUAUGUAAAGCUCUAUCAGCAGGGAAGAAGAAAGACGGUACCUGACUAAGAAGCCCCGGCUAACUACGUGCCAGCAGCCGCGGUAAUACGUAGGGGGCAAGCGUUAUCCGGAUUUACUGGGUGUAAAGGGAGCGUAGACGGCUGUGCAAGUCUGAAGUGAAAGCCCAGGGCUCAACCCUGGGACUGCUUUGGAAACUGUGGAGCUAGAGUGCUGGAGAGGUAAGUGGAAUUCCUAGUGUAGCGGUGAAAUGCGUAGAUAUUAGGAGGAACACCAGUGGCGAAGGCGGCUUACUGGACAGUAACUGACGUUGAGGCUCGAAAGCGUGGGGAGCAAACAGGAUUAGAUACCCUGGUAGUCCACGCGGUAAACGAUGA
RNAcentral lists this ribosomal RNA (591 nucleotides) under uncultured bacterium. RNAcentral describes it as "bacterial SSU rRNA". It matches the Rfam family "Bacterial small subunit ribosomal RNA", at positions 202 to 812 of the family's 1533-position model. The record is from RNAcentral.